Molecule: ribosomal RNA, 301 nt
Filed under: uncultured bacterium
Lineage: Bacteria
Description: partial 16S ribosomal RNA
Rfam family: Bacterial small subunit ribosomal RNA
Source: RNAcentral
CAGUAGCCGCGGUAAUACGGAGGGAGCUAGCGUUGUUCGGAGUUACUGGGCGUAAAGCGCGCGUAGGCGGUUACUCAAGUCAGAGGUGAAAGCCCGGGGCUCAACCCCGGAACUGCCUUUGAAACUAGGUGACUAGAAUCUUGGAGAGGUCAGUGGAAUUCCGAGUGUAGAGGUGAAAUUCGUAGAUAUUCGGAAGAACACCAGUGGCGAAGGCGACUGACUGGACAAGUAUUGACGCUGAGGUGCGAAAGCGUGGGGAGCAAACAGGAUUAGAGACCCCAGUAGUCCCUGUCUCUUAUAU